UACAGAGGGUGCGAGCGUUAAUCGGAAUUACUGGGCGUAAAGCGCUCGUAGGCGGCUUGGCAUGUCGGGUGUGAAAUCCCCGGGCUCAACCUGGGAACUGCAUCCGAAACUGCCUUGCUCGAGUAUGGGAGAGGGAAGUGGAAUUUCCGGUGUAGCGGUGAAAUGCGUAGAUAUCGGAAGGAACAUCAGUGGCGAAGGCGACUUCCUGGACCAACACUGACGCUGAGGAGCGAAAGCCAGGGGAGCAAACGGG
Molecule: ribosomal RNA, 253 nt
Filed under: uncultured bacterium
Lineage: Bacteria
Description: partial 16S ribosomal RNA
Rfam family: Bacterial small subunit ribosomal RNA
Source: RNAcentral